CUUUAUUAAGGCCGGUUACUAAUAUUAAUGCCCACUACUCACACUUCACUUGUAUUUUUUUUUUAAUUUUAAAUAAAAAAAUUAGGUACUUGCCUACUAUCUGCGCUUCUUUUUCCUACACACCUUUAUUUACUUUUUUUUUGGGUUUUUUUCUUAUCCCCAAUUCCCCCAAUUCCCAAUUUUUACAGAAAGAAAACAUUGAAGACCCCUAACUUCUUACUCACUUCCUCUCCCCUAACUCUCAUUCAAGGAUCGGCGCUGCUCUUAGAUCGACGUUGGCCGCACUCCGCCGACGGCCGACUGGUGUUCUCCUGCUUGCCUUUAGCCUUUUCUGAGUUCUCUCUCUUCGACAAAGCAAAACUCCAGUCGUCAGACAUGUCAGACAUGAUGGAUAGUAUCAUUACACUGGGAGGAAACUUGGCAAUUUGAGGAUCACAUGGAUACUAUUAUCUUUGGACUUGAAGGAGACUUGGCAAAUUAAGGACUAGUUUUAUGUCUCAACCUUCUGUAAGUAGCGAAAUUAUCGGCACACUCAGGAGUAUUUGGCAAGAUUUGCAGCCUACAACGAUGUAGAAUUGGAUGAGAUUCGAGAACAACGGGCUAAGUUUUUAGGCUUAAUUUUUUGUUGAAAGACUAGUUAUCUUAUUAAUCGACGUUAUGAUUAAUCGCAUUUAGCUUAAUAAAACAAUACAACACUUUUCUA
Long non-coding RNA from Chenopodium quinoa (quinoa), 703 nucleotides. RefSeq lists it as uncharacterized. NCBI's taxonomy places the organism in Eukaryota, Viridiplantae, Streptophyta, Magnoliopsida, Caryophyllales, Amaranthaceae. The record is from RefSeq and is a predicted model, not a curated record. The transcript is spliced from 3 exons.